This 1394-nucleotide ribosomal RNA is filed under the name uncultured bacterium. Its description in RNAcentral is "bacterial SSU rRNA". It matches the Rfam family "Bacterial small subunit ribosomal RNA". The record is from RNAcentral.
AGAGUUUGAUCCUGGCUCAGGAUGAACGCUGGCGGCGUGCCUAACACAUGCAAGUCGAACGAAGCGCCUGCGGCGAACCCCUCCGGGGGAAAGCCGCAGGGGACUGAGUGGCGGACGGGUGAGCAACGCGUGGGCAACCUGCCCCGUACCGGGGGACAACAGCCGGAAACGGCUGCUAAUACCGCAUAUUCCCGCGGGGCCGCAUGGCCCUGCGGGGAAAGCUCCGGCAGUACGGGAUGGGCCCGCAUCUGAUUAGCUUGUUGGCGGGGUAACGGCCCACCAAGGCUGCGAUCAGUAGCCGGCCUGAGAGGGCGGCCGGCCACAUUGGGACUGAGACACGGCCCAGACUCCUGCGGGAGGCAGCAGUGGGGGAUAUUGCACAAUGGGGGGAACCCUGAUGCAGCGACGCCGCGUGAACGAAGAAAUAUUUCGGUAUGUAAAGUUCUAUCAGCAGGGAAGAAAAUGACAGUACCUGACCAAGAAGCCCCGGCUAACUACGUGCCAGCAGCCGCGGUAAUACGUAGGGGGCGAGCGUUAUCCGGAUUCACUGGGCGUAAAGGGAGCGCAGGCGGCACGGCAAGUCCGGUGUGAAAGCCCGGGGCCCAACCCCGGGACUGCACUGGAAACUGCCGGGCUGGAGUGUCGGAGGGGCAGGCGGAAUUCCUAGUGUAGCGGUGAAAUGCGUAGAUAUAGGGAGGAACACCGGUGGCGAAGGCGGCCUGCUGGACGACGACUGACGCUGAGGCUCGAAAGCGUGGGGAGCAAACAGGAUUAGAUACCCUGGUAGUCCACGCCGUAAACGAUGACUACUAGGUGUCGGGGGACGACAGUGCCCCGGUGCCGGCGCAAACGCAAUAAGUAGUCCACCUGGGGAGUACGUCCGCAAGGAUGAAACUCAAAGGAAUUGACGGGGACCCGCACAAGCGGUGGAGCAUGUGGUUUAAUUCGAAGCAACGCGAAGAACCUUACCUGGCCUUGACAUCCCGGCGAUGCAGGGGCAAUGCCCUGUUCCCUUCGGGGCGCCGGAGACAGGUGGUGCAUGGUUGUCGUCAGCUCGUGUCGUGAGAUGUUGGGUCAAGUCCCGCAACGAGCGCAACCCCUGCCCUUAGUAGCCAGCACGUAGAGGUGGGCACUCUAGGGGGACUGCCGGGGACAACCCGGAGGAAGGCGGGGACGACGUCAAAUCAUCAUGCCCCUUAUGGCCAGGGCUACACACGUGCUACAAUGGCGCGCACAGAGGGAGGCGAGGCGGCGACGCCGAGCGAAGCCCGGAAGGCGCGCCCCAGUUCGGAUUGCAGCCUGCAACUCGGCUGCAUGAAGCCGGAAUCGCUAGUAAUCGCGGAUCAGAACGCCGCGGUGAAUACGUUCCCGGGUCUUGUACUCACCGCCCGUCA